RNAcentral lists this ribosomal RNA (905 nucleotides) under Staphylococcus sp. RNAcentral describes it as "bacterial SSU rRNA". It matches the Rfam family "Bacterial small subunit ribosomal RNA", at positions 60 to 948 of the family's 1533-position model. The record is from RNAcentral. Lineage: Bacteria; Bacillati; Bacillota; Bacilli; Caryophanales; Staphylococcaceae.
AGUCGAGCGAACAGACGAGGAGCUUGCUCCUCUGACGUUAGCGGCGGACGGGUGAGUAACACGUGGAUCACCUCCUUUCUGACUGGGAUAACUUCGGGAAACCGGAGCUAAUACCGGAUAAUAUAUUGAACCGCAUGGUUCAAUAGUGAAAGACGGUUUUGCUGUCACUUAUAGAUGGAUCCGCGCCGCAUUAGCUAGUUGGUAAGGUAACGGCUUACCAAGGCAACGAUGCGUAGCCGACCUGAGAGGGUGAUCGGCCACACUGGAACUGAGACACGGUCCAGACUCCUACGGGAGGCAGCAGUAGGGAAUCUUCCGCAAUGGGCGAAAGCCUGACGGAGCAACGCCGCGUGAGUGAUGAAGGUCUUCGGAUCGUAAAACUCUGUUAUUAGGGAAGAACAAAUGUGUAAGUAACUAUGCACGUCUUGACGGUACCUAAUCAGAAAGCCACGGCUAACUACGUGCCAGCAGCCGCGGUAAUACGUAGGUGGCAAGCGUUAUCCGGAAUUAUUGGGCGUAAAGCGCGCGUAGGCGGUUUUUUAAGUCUGAUGUGAAAGCCCACGGCUCAACCGUGGAGGGUCAUUGGAAACUGGAAAACUUGAGUGCAGAAGAGGAAAGUGGAAUUCCAUGUGUAGCGGUGAAAUGCGCAGAGAUAUGGAGGAACACCAGUGGCGAAGGCGACUUUCUGGUCUGUAACUGACGCUGAUGUGCGAAAGCGUGGGGAUCAAACAGGAUUAGAUACCCUGGUAGUCCACGCCGUAAACGAUGAGUGCUAAGUGUUAGGGGGUUUCCGCCCCUUAGUGCUGCAGCUAACGCAUUAAGCACUCCGCCUGGGGAGUACGACCGCAAGGUUGAAACUCAAAGGAAUUGACGGGGACCCGCACAGCGGUGGAACAUGUGGUUUA